ACAGUUUUCAAAAGCAUAUACACUGAAAUUGGAACGAUACAGAGAAGAUUGGCAUGGCCCCUGCACAAGGAUGAUAUGCAAAUUCAUAAAGCGUUUCAUAUUAAA
Molecule: small nuclear RNA, 105 nt
Organism: Ochotona princeps (American pika)
Lineage: Eukaryota; Metazoa; Chordata; Mammalia; Lagomorpha; Ochotonidae
Source: RefSeq, a predicted model, not a curated record